RNAcentral lists this ribosomal RNA (326 nucleotides) under Salmonella enterica subsp. enterica serovar Bareilly str. CFSAN000195. Its description in RNAcentral is "bacterial SSU rRNA". It matches the Rfam family "Bacterial small subunit ribosomal RNA", at positions 88 to 417 of the family's 1533-position model. The record is from RNAcentral. Lineage: Bacteria; Pseudomonadati; Pseudomonadota; Gammaproteobacteria; Enterobacterales; Enterobacteriaceae.
CUGACGAGUGGCGGACGGGUGAGUAAUGUCUGGGAAACUGCCUGAUGGAGGGGGAUAACUACUGGAAACGGUGGCUAAUACCGCAUAACGUCGCAAGACCAAAGAGGGGGACCUUCGGGCCUCUUGCCAUCAGAUGUGCCCAGAUGGGAUUAGCUUGUUGGUGAGGUAACGGCUCACCAAGGCGACGAUCCCUAGCUGGUCUGAGAGGAUGACCAGCCACACUGGAACUGAGACACGGUCCAGACUCCUACGGGAGGCAGCAGUGGGGAAUAUUGCACAAUGGGCGCAAGCCUGAUGCAGCCAUGCCGCGUGUAUGAAGAAGGCCU